This 403-nucleotide ribosomal RNA is filed under the name uncultured bacterium. Its description in RNAcentral is "partial 16S ribosomal RNA". It matches the Rfam family "Bacterial small subunit ribosomal RNA", at positions 28 to 526 of the family's 1533-position model. The record is from RNAcentral.
GACGAACGCUGGCGGCGUGCCUAAUACAUGCAAGUCGAACGCAGUGGGGACGGGUGAGUAACACGUGGGUAACCUCCCAUCAGAGGGGAUAACCCUUGGAAACAGGUGCUAAACUGAUACUGUUGGAUGGACCCGCGGUGCAUUAGCUAGUUGGUGAGGUAACGGCUCACCAAGGCCAAGAUGCAUAGCCGACCUGAGAGGAUGAUCGGCCACACUGGGACUGAGACACGGCCCAGACUCCGACGGGAGGCAGCAGUAGGGAAUCUUCGGCAAUGUGCGAAAGUCUGACCGAGCAACGCCGCGUUAGGGAAGAAGGUUUUCGGAUCGUAAAACUCUGUUGUUAGAGAGGCGGUAUCUAACCAGGAAGCCACGGCUAACUACGUGCCAGCAGCCGCGGUAAUUC